RNAcentral lists this ribosomal RNA (459 nucleotides) under uncultured bacterium. Its description in RNAcentral is "partial 16S ribosomal RNA". It matches the Rfam family "Bacterial small subunit ribosomal RNA", at positions 338 to 795 of the family's 1533-position model. The record is from RNAcentral.
CCUACGGGUGGCUGCAGUGAGGAAUAUUGGUCAAUGGCCGAGAGGCUGAACCAGCCAAGUCGCGUGCGGGACGCAUGUCCUAAGGAUUGUAAACCUCUUUUGUCGGGGAGCAAAAAGGCUCUGCGGCGUCGUAUUGAGAGUACCCGAAGAAAAAGCAUCGGCUAACUCCGUGCCAGCAGCCGCGGUGAUACGGAGGAUGCGAGCGUUAUCCGGAGUUAUUGGGUUUAAAGGGUGCGCAGGCGGCGGGUCAAGCAAGCGGUAAACUAGCGGGGCGCAACCCCGUCGAGCCGUUUGAACUGGCGCGCGUGAGUUCAGGCGAGGUAGGCGGAAUGCGUGGUGUAGCGGUGAAAUGCAUAGAUAUCACGAAGAACUCCGAUUGCGAAGGCAGCUUACCAGUCUGCGACUGACGCUCAGGCACGAAAGUGUGGGUAUCGAACAGGAUUAGAUACCCCAGUAGUC